GAUGAACGCUGGCGGCGUGCCUAAUACAUGCAAGUCGAGCGAACGGACGAGAAGCUUGCUUCUCUGAUGUUAGCGGCGGACGGGUGAGUAACACGUGGAUAACCUACCUAUAAGACUGGGGUAACUUCGGGAAACCGGAGCUAAUACCGGAUAAUAUUUUGAACCGCAUGGUUCAAAAGUGAAAGACGGUCUUGCUGUCACUUAUAGAUGGAUCCGCGCUGCAUUAGCUAGUUGGUAAGGUAACGGCUUACCAAGGCAACGAUGCAUAGCCGACCUGAGAGGGUGAUCGGCCACACUGGAACUGAGACACGGUCCAGACUCCUACGGGAGGCAGCAGUAGGGAAUCUUCCGCAAUGGGCGAAAGCCUGACGGAGCAACGCCGCGUGAGUGAUGAAGGUCUUCGGAUCGUAAAACUCUGUUAUUAGGGAAGAACAUAUGUGUAAGUAACUGUGCACAUCUUGACGGUACCUAAUCAGAAAGCCACGGCUAACUACGUGCCAGCAGCCGCGGUAAUACGUAGGUGGCAAGCGUUAUCCGGAAUUAUUGGGCGUAAAGCGCGCGUAGGCGGUUUUUUAAGUCUGAUGUGAAAGCCCACGGCUCAACCGUGGAGGGUCAUUGGAAACUGGAAAACUUGAGUGCAGAAGAGGAAAGUGGAAUUCCAUGUGUAGCGGUGAAAUGCGCAGAGAUAUGGAGGAACACCAGUGGCGAAGGCGACUUUCUGGUCUGUAACUGACGCUGAUGUGCGAAAGCGUGGGGAUCAAACAGGAUUAGAUACCCUGGUAGUCCACGCCGUAAACGAUGAGUGCUAAGUGUUAGGGGGUUUCCGCCCCUUAGUGCUGCAGCUAACGCAUUAAGCACUCCGCCUGGGGAGUACGACCGCAAGGUUGAAACUCAAAGGAAUUGACGGGGACCCGCACAAGCGGUGGAGCAUGUGGUUUAAUUCGAAGCAACGCGAAGAACCUUACCAAAUCUUGACAUCCUUUGACAACUCUAGAGAUAGAGCCUUCCCCUUCGGGGGACAAAGUGACAGGUGGUGCAUGGUUGUCGUCAGCUCGUGUCGUGAGAUGUUGGGUUAAGUCCCGCAACGAGCGCAACCCUUAAGCUUAGUUGCCAUCAUUAAGUUGGGCACUCUAAGUUGACUGCCGGUGACAAACCGGAGGAAGGUGGGGAUGACGUCAAAUCAUCAUGCCCCUUAUGAUUUGGGCUACACACGUGCUACAAUGGACAAUACAAAGGGCAGCGAAACCGCGAGGUCAAGCAAAUCCCAUAAAGUUGUUCUCAGUUCGGAUUGUAGUCUGCAACUCGACUACAUGAAGCUGGAAUCGCUAGUAAUCGUAGAUCAGCAUGCUACGGUGAAUACGUUCCCGGGUCU
RNAcentral lists this ribosomal RNA (1372 nucleotides) under uncultured bacterium. RNAcentral's name for it is "bacterial SSU rRNA". It matches the Rfam family "Bacterial small subunit ribosomal RNA", at positions 28 to 1381 of the family's 1533-position model. The record is from RNAcentral.